AUUGAACGCUGGCGGCAGGCCUAACACAUGCAAGUCGAACGAGUGGCGGACGGGUGCGUAAUGUCUGGGAAACUGCCUGAUGGAGGGGGAUAACUACUGGCAACGGUAGCUAAUACCUCAUACCAUCAGAUGUGCCCAGUGGGGAUUAGCUUGUUGGUGGGGUAACGGCUCACCAGGGCGACGAUCCCUAGCUGGUCUGAGAGGAUGACGGGCCACACGGGAAAUGAGACACGGCCAAGACUCCUAGGGGAGGCAGCAGGGGGGAAUAUUGCACAAUGGGCGCAAGCCUGAUGCAGCCAGGCCGCGUGUAUGAAGAAGGCCUUCGGGUUGUAAAGUACUUUCAGAGGGGAGGCGUUACCCGCAGAAGAAGCACCGGCUAACUCCGUGCCAGCAGCCGCGGUAAUAC
RNAcentral lists this ribosomal RNA (406 nucleotides) under uncultured bacterium. Its description in RNAcentral is "partial 16S ribosomal RNA". It matches the Rfam family "Bacterial small subunit ribosomal RNA", at positions 29 to 526 of the family's 1533-position model. The record is from RNAcentral.